GACAACUCGCGGGGAUUGUUUUCCACACCGUGGAAGCUUUGUUCUUUUCGUUUUUUGCAAUAAAUCUUGUUGCUGCUCGCUUUUUGGGUCCACAUUGCUUUUAUGAGCUGUACCACUCACCGUGAAGAUCUGCAGCUUCACUUCAGAGCCUAGCGAGACCACAAGCUCACUGAGAGGAACAAACAACUCCAGACGCGCUGUCUUAAGAGCUAUAACACUCACCGCGAAGGUGUGCAGUUUCACUCCUGAGCUAGUGAGACUACGAAGCCACUGGAACGAAGAAACUCCAACCACGUUUGAACAUCAGAAGGGGCAGACUCCAGACGCUUCAUCUUAAGAGCUGUAACACUCACUGUGAAGGUCUGCAGCUUCACUCCUGAGCCAGCGAGACCACGAACCGAUCUGAACAUCAGAAGGGACAGACUCCAGAUGCCCCACCUUAAGAGCUGUAAUACUCACUGCAAGGGUCUGCAGCUUCAUUCUUGAAGUCAGACCAAGAACCCAGCAAUUCCCAACACACAGGGACCAGCUUCUUUCCUAACUCACUUAGGCUCUUCGUGCUGCUCUGGCAACUAACACCCUUGGCUGCAGGGGCUUGGACACUACCCUUAGUCACUGACAAUUGUGUGAAGGCUGCUGUCGUUAACUUCACUUGAUCACCUUAGGCUCCUGUGAAGUGGUGAGCAAUUCAAACAAAUUCCUGUCGUCAAAUCAUAAUCCUGAUUUUGUUUGGAAGGACAGCGUGCCUGGUUCCAGGUGUUCAGCUGCAUUGGCGCCAGAGCACCAAUGGGGCAAGAGAAUCCUCUGGAGAAGUUUUCUGUGAUCUCAUCACAGGAGUAGCCCAGAGGAACAGCCCAGGGCCUGGGGCCUAGGAUGGGUGGACCAGGCCAUGCAGCUGGUUGGGGGCUUGACCCCCACUCAAAAAGACAGGAGAGAGAAGGGGAAUGGCUGUAAGCAGUGAAGCUCCUCUUUGAACACUGUAGAAGGUUCCCAUCCUGGCACAGGCAUGGAUAUACAUCUUUCCACACCAAUAGACCUUGUUUUCCGAUGUAGCAUUAUUUUUCAUAGUUGGCGAAUAUACAGUUAUGGAUUCAUAACAGCAAGAUGGAGAAAUUGCACUGCAGAGAAAUCUUUAAAAGCAAUUACCUAAUACUGCAGAUUGCUGAACUGUACCCACACCCAAGACUGAGCAUUGGAUCAAUCCAGAAUAUACAUCAGGUGUUCUGCAAUGUCUGCCUAAAACCAUGACUCUGCCUCCUCCAGCUGUUGCUACAUCUCACUAUGGGUUUCCUGUGACAUUUUGAGCAAGUAUGCCUCUGUGACUGGGGUUCUUACACUCCAGAAUGGAUGAGAAGCACCGUAAGUGGCUUUUAAAAUGAAUAUUCCCUGGCCCUUCAGUCGCUCUAUAGGUCAAGAAUCUGAAUUCUCAACCUGUCUAGAAGGUUCUGGUUUUAAUGGUCUGUGGGCUGCACAUUGAGAAACCUGUUCAGCGAGUGCAACAAAGGUUCCACAUGUGAGAAAGGAAGCAUCAGGUCUCUUGAGCCUGUUCUUUAAUCUGUAGGCUGCACCUUCUCUUUAAAUUCUGCUAAUAACACCAUGCGAGAAAACACCCGAGCUUGAAAAGCCCAUGUUCCAACAUAACUGUCCUUCACCACUCUGGAAAAUUAAUGGUUUGUUUCGAUUAUCCCUUUGUUAAACUCCAAAGUCAAAGAGCUCUGAAAGGCAUACGGUUAUUUUAAGUUUCAGGUGAUUUCUGUUGCCAAAUAUUUUAAAAAUUUAAAAUUGCUACGUGACCUCUUAGUAGUACUAUUAGAUUUCCUGACAAUAAAAAUAAGUCUUUUGGUUUCACCAUUUAUAGUUAGUACAGCUAAUAUUAAGUAUAAUUUUAAAAGCCUUUUAUUUUCUCAGAAAGAAAAAAUAAUCAAAAUCUGCUCAGUGUGGUAUUGAAUAAUUAAAAACAAAAGAACAGUAUCUUCACAUUAGUGUUUAAUAUUAAUUGCUUUUUUACCCUUGACACUGGUGCUAAUUAAAUUUUCAUUUUAUUUUCCAUGACUUGUUUAAACAGUUUUUGCAAAUUAUUGCUAAUCAGCCUAAUAAAACUGAAUCACCUAUUAAACAAUUUUGUUUUGAAUUAAAUGGCAUUAAAAUAA
Molecule: long non-coding RNA, 2150 nt
Filed under: Homo sapiens (human)
Lineage: Eukaryota; Metazoa; Chordata; Mammalia; Primates; Hominidae
Description: uncharacterized LOC100507336, transcript variant 5 (LOC100507336)
Source: RNAcentral